Molecule: long non-coding RNA, 563 nt
Filed under: Zostera marina
Lineage: Eukaryota; Viridiplantae; Streptophyta; Magnoliopsida; Alismatales; Zosteraceae
Description: long non-coding RNA (ZMAR_LNC001831)
Source: RNAcentral
UAACCCUGUCAAUGGAUAUCCGAAAUCCGAAUUCGAAUUCGAUUUCGAAUUCGUUUAAGCCUAAUCGAAUUCGGAUAAUCGAAUUCGGAUACGAAUUCGGAUACUGAAAAUACUAUCCGACACUAAUCGAAUUCGAUAAUUAUCCGAAUUCGAAUUAAUAUUAAAUAUAUAAUAAUUUUAUAAUUUUAACCUUCUCUAAUAUAAUAUUGUAAUGUAAUCUAUAUGUUUUAUAAUUUUAACCUUCUCUAAUAAAUAUUAAAUAUCUUACACCAUAUUAGCAAUAAACCCAUCUCAUUUUUUAUCAAAUCCCUAAACCUAAUCCCUAAAUCUCUAAAAAUUCAUUCUUAUUUCUUAUUCCCCCUUUCUUAAGAGUUCGCUAGGGUUUGUGAUUUCUUCUCAUUCCUCUUUUUUUUGCACAAGCACACAAGAGUUAGCUAGGGUUUGACUCGGCUCCUUCUCAGUUCUCAUCUUGGUAAGUGGUAACUCGGCUCCCCUCAGUCCCCACAAAAAAACAGAUUUUUGUGGUGAGAUGCUAGUCGGAUCAUGUAAAGAUUACUAUGUUG